UGAAGCUUUUAUAGGCACUAUUCCAUGGACGUAGGCAUUUUAUAACACCCUGAUUUUAAGAACCCAAUCUUAGAAAUAAGAAGUUUAAGGAGAAGGAUACAUGGUGGUGGAAAGAAUUAUAAUCAGAUGUAUAGCAGAAAGUAAAGAGGAAAGGAUACCUUACUGUAGUGUAAUGAUAGUUUUAAGGAUGCCUACAUAAGUGGAGAAGGGUCCCACAUAAGGUAGGAUACCUUAGCCAAAGGGCUGGACAGCAAGGGACCAAAAAUGGCUUAACUGGCUGGAGAGCCUCUGCCCAACCGGCCUGCCAGUUCGGAUAACAGAAUACCCGUAAAAUUGAAAUUUUCUCUAUGGGCCCCUCUAUUUGACAGAGUUUUUCCACCUAUAUUCCACCAUGGUUAGGGGAAUAUUUCAGGGUUUUAAUGCAGGUGAUUUCAUGCUAAACCCUAUUUCCUGUCAAAAGUUAGUUUAAGUCAAAAAUGGUAGAAAAAUGUUUUUGUUAUAUAGAACAUGUUUGGCCGUAGCAUUAUAUAAGGGGGAAUGAUAGGUCGGCUAUUCUUCUUUUUCUAGGAGAAGAGAAAGGAGAAGAGAAAGAAGGAAGAAGAAGAAGAAGAAGAAGAGAAGAAGAAGAAGGAAGAGAGAAGGGUUGCUUGUGCCUUCUGGGAUCAGUUGAACUUGCCUACACCUUAGAUGGUGGAACCAGUGCUGAGGCAGGAUUGGAUUUCAGCGGUGGUUGUGAGGCUUGUGUCUGCGAGACAUCAGGAUGCUGAUGGACAUCUCUUCUGUUAUUUCAGUUAUCCCUUUUGAUGUAAAUAUUUAUAGAAUGUGUAGUAGGUAAUAUUGUAACCUGUGGUUAUUUUCGGAUAUGAAAAUUGUAUAAUAUAAUUAUCAUUUUAGUACAUCACCAGUGAUAUUUGUAAAAUUUACUUAACAUACUUUGAUUUUGGAUGUGAUCUUGGUAACAUUUGUGAAGUUAAUAUACUGCAUCUAUGAUCUUGGAGGAUUAGGAUGAUAAGGUUGAGAAUCUAGUGCUGCAUACUUUGGCCUAAAUUGAUGCAGAGUGUGACGCAUCUUGCCAAACCUUGUAAAAAUUUCAUUGUUGUCCGUGUGGAUUUUCUUUUGUAU
Long non-coding RNA from Macadamia integrifolia, 1122 nucleotides. RefSeq lists it as uncharacterized. The record is from RefSeq and is a predicted model, not a curated record. The transcript is spliced from 2 exons. NCBI's taxonomy places the organism in Eukaryota, Viridiplantae, Streptophyta, Magnoliopsida, Proteales, Proteaceae.